Long non-coding RNA from Oncorhynchus tshawytscha (Chinook salmon), 342 nucleotides. Lineage: Eukaryota; Metazoa; Chordata; Actinopteri; Salmoniformes; Salmonidae. The record is from Ensembl.
GAGAGAUGUGAAAGAUGAGGUGGAGAGACGUGAGAGACGAGGUGGAGAGACGUGAGAGACGAGGUGGAGAGACGUGAAAGACGAGGUGGAGAGACGAGGUGGAGAGACGAGGUGGAGAGACGAGGUGGAGAGACGAGGUGAAGAGACGAGGUGGAGAGACGAGGUGGAGAGACGAGGUGAAGAGACGAGGUGGAGAGACGAGGUGGAGAGACGAGGUGGAGAGAGAGACGAGGUGGAGAGACGUGGUGGAGAGACGUGGUGGAGAGACGAGAUGAAGAGACGAGGUGGAGAGACGAGGUGGAGAGACGAGGUGGAGAGACGAGGUGGAGAGACAAGGUGGAG